AUACGGAGGGUGCAAGCGUUACUCGGAAUCACUGGGCGUAAAGCGCGCGCAGGCGGCUAUUUAAGUUGGAUGUGAAAGCCUACGGCUCAACCGUAGAACUGCAUCCAAAACUAUUUAGCUAGAGUGUGGGAGAGGAAGAUGGAAUUAGUUGUGUAGGGGUAAAAUCCGUAGAGAUAACUAGGAAUACCAAAAGCGAAGGCAAUCUUCUGGAACACUACUGACGCUGAGGCGUGAAAGCGUGGGGAGCAAACAGGAUUAGAAACCCUAGUAGUCC
RNAcentral lists this ribosomal RNA (274 nucleotides) under uncultured bacterium. RNAcentral's name for it is "partial 16S ribosomal RNA". It matches the Rfam family "Bacterial small subunit ribosomal RNA", at positions 523 to 796 of the family's 1533-position model. The record is from RNAcentral.